UGCGCGUUGUUCCUGACCCUGUAUAUUUGCUCCAUUUUUUUUAGCAGCGAAUUUCGUUGGUUAUAAUUAACGCAUGCAGGAUGCCCUGGCAGAGAUUUUUUUUUUGUUUUGAUUUGUGGAAAGGAAUCAUUGAACAUUAUGCCAAUUGAGUGGUGAACCAACAUUUCUUGAUUAUAUUAUUCAUUCUGAUUUAAAACCUUCUGCAUAACUGUAUGUAAUAAUGGGCCUGCUUUGGUAAGUAAAUUGUGCUACCAAAUUUGAUUUUCUAGAACGAAGCAUCAAGAUCUACUUAUAAAAAGAAAUUAAAGUCUGCGUGUUUUCCAAAACAGUUGUGGCGGAGCUCAUCACAUGCAUCUUAUGAUGAACGCACACACAAACAGAGACUGCAGGUAGUAAGGUGCAACAUUAAAGAUCUUUUAUAUAUGUAGGCUGAUGUUAGUGCCGUCCUUGAUAAAUUUUUAAAAGUUUCUUUUCGAGCAUCUCCAACAGUUUGCCAAAAUUUAUUUCUCAAAUCUUGUUGUUUGUCAACUUCCAAAAUAAAUAUGAGAAAAAAAAGAUCUCGUCUCCAAUAAUUUAGCAAAUUUCAUUUCCAAAAACUUUAAAACCAGCUAAUGAAAUAAAAAGGCCC
This 628-nucleotide long non-coding RNA is filed under the name Sorghum bicolor (sorghum). RNAcentral describes it as "long non-coding RNA (SBIC_LNC002230)". Lineage: Eukaryota; Viridiplantae; Streptophyta; Magnoliopsida; Poales; Poaceae. The record is from RNAcentral.